AGCGAACGCUGGCGGCAGGCCUAAUACAUGCAAGUCGAACGGAUCCUUCGGGAUUAGUGGCGGACGGGUGAGUAACACGUGGGAACGUGCCCUUUGGUUCGGAACAACUCAGGGAAACUUGAGCUAAUACCGGAUAAGCCCUUCGGGGAAGGAUUAUCGCCAUUGGAGCGGCCCGCGUCUGAUUAGCUAGUUGGUGGGGUAAAGGGACCUACCAAGGCGACGAUCAGUAGCUGAUCUGAGAGGANGAUCAGCCACACUGGGACUGAGACACGGCCCAGACUCCUACGGGAGGCAGCAGUAGGGAAUCUUGCGCAAUGGGCGAAAGCCUGACGCAGCGACGCCGCGUGAGGGAGUGACGGCCUUCGGUU
Molecule: ribosomal RNA, 368 nt
Filed under: uncultured bacterium
Lineage: Bacteria
Description: bacterial SSU rRNA
Rfam family: Bacterial small subunit ribosomal RNA
Source: RNAcentral